CAGGCUCGCGGUGUUUACCCAACACCCUCAGGUGCAGCGACUGAGGCGUCGCUAGGCAACCGCACCAUCCCUGGUGCCGCUCUGCCUCUGGCACUCAAGUGGGAGCUUAUGUGGACUUAACUCGGAAAAGAGCAGCAGGGCUGAGGAGCGGAAGGGAGGAUUACCAGGAAAAAUAUUGGAUUGGGCCGAGACACAAGGGCCGAGGCCUUACCUGAGUCCCCGCUGCCGUCGAACAUAGACGCCCUGGUUCCCACACAACCAGAAAGAGACCCCGGGACCAGAAACCAAUAAUUCUGCUCUGCAGCACAAAAUCCUAAAACUACAACUGGACAACAGCUCCUUCACAAACUUUUUCUUCCUUGGUGCAAAGAGGACCGCUACCUUAGGUCCUUCCUCCCAGAGACUACCUUCAGAACCAUCACUCCUCCUAACAAGCUCCACAACUGUUUACAUCGCUGUGAUUACUUGCUCUUUUUCCAUUUCUUGUAAAUAGUUGGUUGUUGUUUAUAAAGGCGCAAUAUUGUGCAAAAUGAACAUUUUUGAGCAUUACAUCGUGCUUUUACGUUAUUCUCUCAUCAGAAACAGACCUGGAGCGUUGCCUUGAUCCCUUCAUGCGUGUUUGAGAAAUGCUUUAAUCUCCCAUGGCAACCAUUCAGCUGUGCAAAACGCCCGGGUGGACCUAGCCCCGCCUUCGAGGACGGCUCUCCUCCUCUGAGCUGCAGUUUCUAAGCUUCUGAGCUGGUAAAAAUGUUGUCAAGAGGGUUAAUAGGGGAGCCAUAUAAUAGAGGAGGAGUUACAGAAAGAGCAGGAGUUUUUAAAGAGACAGGCACAACUUCAAGGUGUUAAAUUACAAAUUCAAAUUUCUCCUAGGUCACAUCUGAUAUGUACAGCAUUCUUAUAAAAACUGAAGGCAACAUAGUUACUUCACGGUGCUACUGCCCUUUUAAUGCUCAACUAUGAAUGCACAUUUGGCACACUUUUUUUCUUUUUUUUUUAAAUGACCCUACUCAGUUGUAGAGUGCAAUGUUGAAUUGAAUAACUGUGCAGUAUUGUUUUCUUAUGUUGUAAAGUCUCUUUUUUUUUGUCUGUUUUGUGAAUUUUCCCAUCGUGUGACAAUAAAGGAUAUUUCUGCACUAUU
Long non-coding RNA from Xiphophorus hellerii (green swordtail), 1138 nucleotides. RefSeq lists it as uncharacterized. The transcript has 2 exons. Lineage: Eukaryota; Metazoa; Chordata; Actinopteri; Cyprinodontiformes; Poeciliidae. The record is from RefSeq and is a predicted model, not a curated record.